AAGAAAUAGCUAGUAGAACGGAGGCAAUUUAGCUGGAGCAUUUAAGACAUCAGGAGUAUUUACUGUGGUAGUCAAACACGAACAGAAAGUGGCAGAAAUGGAGAGGGAGGACAAACCCAGCCUGCUGCUCUCCUUCCACACUGAGGUCAAACAAGAGUCACUAGAUGCUGAUUGUGACAGUGGAGCUCAGUGUUCAUUGGUGGAUUCAGAGAUGAUGUCAGUGAAGCUGGAAGACAAAAGUCAACCACUGGGACUGAAUGAUAUUAAAUAUGAAGAGGAGGAGAAGAUUGGGGAUUUCAUUAAUCAAGAGACGACAUCAGUGAAGCAGGAAGACUUCAGUCAAACUCUGGGACUGAAUGUCAUCAUUAAAGAUGAGGAGGAGGAGGAGGAGAUUGGGGAUUCAACUAAUCAUGCAGAGGGAGGACAAACCCAGCCUGCUGCUCUCCUUCCACACUGAGAUCAAACAAGAGCCACUGGAUUCUGGUUGUGACAGCGGAGCUCAGUGUUCAUUGGUGGAUUCAGAGAUGACGUCAGUGAAGAAGGAAGACUGCAGUCAAACACUGAAACUGAAUGUUAUGAAAAAUGAAGAGAAUGGGGAUUCAAUUAAAAAUGGUAAGAACUGG
This is a long non-coding RNA of Esox lucius (northern pike), 623 nucleotides long. The record is from Ensembl. Lineage: Eukaryota; Metazoa; Chordata; Actinopteri; Esociformes; Esocidae.